ACCCUUCUUUUUUUUUUUUUUUUUUUUUAACAAGGAUUUACAGGAUUUGUAGAUUAAAUUGCCCCUGUUCUCCAAGAAGCAGCGGGAACAGCAGCGCUGCAGGGUGAUGGGCUGCAGAGGCCUCUGCAGCAGGGUGGGGUCUGGGGAGACAUUCGGGUGCCUCCUGUCCACGGCCUCGAUAGGCCAGGGCGCCUGCAGCUUGGGCCCUCUUCCCCUUUCAGGUGGAGGGAGCUGUUCAUCCUCUGGGGGCUGCUGGGCAAGAAACAUUUCUUACGUGAUAAUGUGAAGCGUCAGAGGUCCCUGUUUGAUAGCUCUACUGAGAUGAAGAAAGAAAAAGAAUACCUGCUCAGCUCCAGAGACACGUAAAGGGACAGAGAUUGGGGGACAGAAGGAAGUGCAUUAAUUCCUUCCACGACCCCUGAAGAGCAGCGGUGGGUCUGAGCAUCCUAUCUCCAGGAAGCAGGCCAGCAGGAUUUCCAAAGAUGAUGUUAAACCCAGCCACGGUUCUGAUCUCCAGGAAAGCAAUUGCUGUGGUACAAAAGGACAAGGGUUAAAAGAGAACAGUGGGAGCUCUCUUUCCCAGCUAACUCACGCAGUGUGACGCAGAGGCUUUCAGCACAGCCCAGGGUGCCCGGGACUGAAAACUCCUUCACCAGCCCCCUCCA
Molecule: long non-coding RNA, 665 nt
Filed under: Homo sapiens (human)
Lineage: Eukaryota; Metazoa; Chordata; Mammalia; Primates; Hominidae
Description: non-protein coding lnc-GOLGA8A-1:5
Source: RNAcentral